Molecule: ribosomal RNA, 273 nt
Filed under: uncultured Fonticella sp.
Lineage: Bacteria; Bacillati; Bacillota; Clostridia; Eubacteriales; Clostridiaceae
Description: partial 16S ribosomal RNA
Rfam family: Bacterial small subunit ribosomal RNA
Source: RNAcentral
UACGUAGGUGGCAAGCGUUGUCCGGAAUUAUUGGGCGUAAAGGGUGCGUAGGCGGUCUUUUAAGUGGGAUGUGAAAUACCUAGGCUUAACUUAGGAAUGGCAUUCCAAACUGGAAGACUAGAGUGCAGGAGAGGAAAGUGGAAUUCCCAGUGUAGCGGUGAAAUGCGUAGAGAUUGGGAGGAACACCAGUGGCGAAGGCGACUUUCUGGACUGUAACUGACGCUGAGGCACGAAAGCGUGGGGAGCAAACAGGAUUAGAUACCCCAGUAGUCC